RNAcentral lists this ribosomal RNA (342 nucleotides) under Triticum aestivum (bread wheat). RNAcentral describes it as "partial small subunit ribosomal RNA". The record is from RNAcentral. Lineage: Eukaryota; Viridiplantae; Streptophyta; Magnoliopsida; Poales; Poaceae.
AUGCAGGCGAGCAGCCGUUCCACGAGCAGCAUCGACGGUGCGGGAGCUGCCGAAGCAAGCAGCGGACGCACGCCCGGGUCCUGCAGAUCUCACCGAGUGCCACGGACGGCAUCACAUCUCGUGCCGUUCCUGCGUGACUGCAAUUCGCUUGUGGGCCGUGACCGGGGCUUUGCCGUUGCGGGGACGGGGUGGUGCCCGCGAGGUGUUCGGGGCAUUGCACGAGUCGAGCAGAGCAGAUCUGCCGCAUUGGCACGGACGGAGGGGCAUUGGCGCGAGAUAGAAGUAUCCCAGGUCGCAGUUUCCACUGGUGGCAUAUCCUGCUCCAAACCAAUUCCUAGUUGA